GUAGGGAAUAUUGGACAAUGGGUGAGAGCCUGAUCCAGCCAUGCCGCGUGCAGGAAGAAGGCCUUCUGGGUUGUAAACUGCUUUUGCCAGGGGAUAAAAUUUCCAUGCGUGGAAAAUUGAAGGUACCUGGUGAAUAAGCCACGGCUAACUACGUGCCAGCAGCCGCGGUAAUACGUAGGUGGCAAGCGUUGUCCGGAUUUAUUGGGUUUAAAGGGUGCGUAGGCGGUUCCAUAAGUCAGUGGUGAAAUACCCCGGCUCAACCGGGGAGGUGCCAUUGAUACUGCGGAACUUGAGUACAGACGAGGUAGGCGGAAUUGACGGUGUAGCGGUGAAAUGCUUAGAUAUCGUCAAGAACACCGAUAGCGAAGGCAGCUUACUAGACUGUAACUGACGCUGAGGCACGAAAGUGUGGGGAUCAAACAGGAUUAGAUACCCGAGUAGUCC
This 444-nucleotide ribosomal RNA is filed under the name uncultured bacterium. Its description in RNAcentral is "bacterial SSU rRNA". It matches the Rfam family "Bacterial small subunit ribosomal RNA", at positions 354 to 796 of the family's 1533-position model. The record is from RNAcentral.